Molecule: long non-coding RNA, 509 nt
Filed under: Mustela putorius furo (domestic ferret)
Lineage: Eukaryota; Metazoa; Chordata; Mammalia; Carnivora; Mustelidae
Description: lncRNA (ENSMPUG00000024822.1)
Source: RNAcentral
UUUUGGACUCUGAACUCAGAGGUUUGAUUUCCCUCCCUUCCCCUUCUCUCUUCUCUCCCGAAUAUUUGUUACAGUUGCAUUUUUCAAACCAUUUACUGUUGAGAGGGUAAGUGGAGUGACAGAGCUCAUAAUGUGCAAAUAAAUGGGAACGAAGCUCGUCAGCUCGAGUGGAAUGAAUUACUGUCGCCAGCGAGAUGCCAUGAUGGGGAGCAGCUGCCUGACGCCGGGUGGGGGCUCGAGCAGAUGCCAGGAGCACCCAUUCUGCAAGUCACGAGAGUCAGAAAUGUUUCCAGACAUUGCUGCACGGCGGCCCCCAAUCCCACUGGAGAUGGACAACCUCUGCUCUCCUGUGACACUCUCAGACAGUGCUGGAAUGAUCUCUUGUGGAUCUGCUUCCUUGCUUUGAAUUUAAAACCAUUUUUUAAAAAUUAAUGUUUUUCCUGAAAAAAAAAAAUCAAUUUUAAUUGAAUUGAACAGAAAAAAAAAAAAAAAAAGGAAGUAAACCUGAA